GGGCGAUUAGCUCAGUUGGUUUAGAGCAUCUCGUUUACACCGAGAGGGUCGGGGGUUCGAAUCCCUCAUCGCCCACCA
RNAcentral lists this transfer RNA (78 nucleotides) under Bacteroidales bacterium. RNAcentral's name for it is "tRNA-Val". It matches the Rfam family "tRNA". Rfam says of the family: Transfer RNA (tRNA) molecules are approximately 80 nucleotides in length. Their secondary structure includes four short double-helical elements and three loops (D, anti-codon, and T loops). The record is from RNAcentral. RNAcentral also lists the same sequence under 1 other name. Lineage: Bacteria; Pseudomonadati; Bacteroidota; Bacteroidia; Bacteroidales.